GAUGAACGCUGGCGGCGUGCCUAAUACAUGCAAGUCGAGCGAACGGACGAGAAGCUUGCUUCUCUGAUGUUAGCGGCGGACGGGUGAGUAACACGUGGAUAACCUACCUAUAAGACUGGGAUAACUUCGGGAAACCGGAGCUAAUACCGGAUAAUAUUUUGAACCGCAUGGUUCAAAAGUGAAAGACGGUCUUGCUGUCACUUAUAGAUGGAUCCGCGCUGCAUUAGCUAGUUGGUAAGGUAACGGCUUACCAAGGCAACGAUGCAUAGCCGACCUGAGAGGGUGAUCGGCCACACUGGAGCUGAGACACGGUCCAGACUCCUACGGGAGGCAGCAGUAGGGAAUCUUCCGCAAUGGGCGAAAGCCUGACGGAGCAACGCCGCGUGAGUGAUGAAGGUCUUCGGAUCGUAAAACUCUGUUAUUAGGGAAGAACAUAUGUGUAAGUAACUGUGCACAUCUUGACGGUACCUAAUCAGAAAGCCACGGCUAACUACG
RNAcentral lists this ribosomal RNA (495 nucleotides) under uncultured bacterium. Its description in RNAcentral is "partial 16S ribosomal RNA". It matches the Rfam family "Bacterial small subunit ribosomal RNA", at positions 28 to 505 of the family's 1533-position model. The record is from RNAcentral.